UAGCCUCAGUCAAAUUUAUUGCGCAAAGGAACUAAUACGUUUCAUUUUCGUAUUAUUAUGUUGCAAUUUUAUAGCAUGGUGAAUAAAUUAAAAUCGAUUCAAAACACCAAAAUUGGUUACUAUAUAAAAUGGGGCGCAAUAAAAUGUUAAGUAUUGAAGAAAUUAAUAAAAUUAAUUUUUUACUUAAUCAAAAUUUAUCUCAUCAUGAAAUCGCUGGAAGAGUGAAUAGAAGUGCUAAAGUUAUUAAUAAUUUCGUGAAAAACAAUGAAAACUACGGAAAAAAUUAUAAAGGUCGAACGAAAUUCGCGACAACGCCAAGGGAACGUCGAAUGAUAAUUUGCGCGGCAUCUAAUUCCAUUAAGACUGUGAGGCAAAUAGCGGAAGAAGUUGGAACAGCAGCAUCUAUUUCAACUGUAACAAGAGUGAUAAUACGGGCAAAGCAUCGAAAGAGAAUGAGAUUGAAGAAAAAAUCGGCUUUGAAUCAAAAACACAUCAGCACGACUUUUAUUUGUAAAAGAACAUAUGAGUUGGAUAGAUAAAUGGCUACAAGUAAUUUUUUCAGAUGGAAUAAAAUUGAAUUUAGAUGUGCCUGAUAAAUGUAACUAUUACUUUUAUGAUUUGCGGAAGGAACAAAAAAUUUUGAUUAAGAAUCAGAUAUUGAAAAAAAUAGACGUCUUCUUCAUCUCCAGCAUCGCUCGAGUAUUCAAAGUUGAUAUCGUUUUAAAUCGUCAAAAACGACAACAAUUUCCAAAAUGUUCAAAGUAUUGAUAUUCUCACUUUUGAUAAUCGCAUUUGUAGCAACUGUUAAUGCAAUUCCGGAUUGUACAGGAAAAUGGUGUCACCCGAGUAAGGGUUACGACUGCUGCUUCGGUUAUGUCUGUUCAUCCGUUUUCUGGCAAGGUUCCUGCAAGGUUGCUUUUCCAUGAUACCAGUUUUUUUCUGAUAUCAAGAAAAUUAUGUGGGAUCAAUAACUUAACAAAUAUACCCGUAAAAAGUUUUGCAAAAUAACUGAUAUUUUUUUAACAAUUUUACUAAGCGUUUAAAUCUCUGUAACUUUUCAAGAAUUGAUUUUAUAGAAUUUUUCAAUCACACCAAAUAUAUAGAAAUGUUUAUUCCCUACAACUUUGAUAUCCGUAAUAAAUGCGGUAAAACUGAUAAUUUGAAAGAUAUGGGCAUUUGAAGUUAUUGAAAACCAAUACAAUAUUUUUUAUAUAAUUGA
This is a long non-coding RNA of Microplitis mediator, 1219 nucleotides long. RefSeq lists it as uncharacterized. NCBI's taxonomy places the organism in Eukaryota, Metazoa, Arthropoda, Insecta, Hymenoptera, Braconidae. The record is from RefSeq and is a predicted model, not a curated record. The transcript has 4 exons.